GACGAACGCUGGCGGCGUGCUUAACACAUGCAAGUCGAACGGAAAGGCCCUGCUUUUGUGGGGUGCUCGAGUGGCGAACGGGUGAGUAACACGUGAGUAACCUGCCCUUGACUUUGGGAUAACUUCAGGAAACUGGGGCUAAUACCGGAUAGGAGCUCCUGCUGCAUGGUGGGGGUUGGAAAUUUUCGGCGGUUGGGGAUGGACUCGCGGCUUAUCAGCUUGUUGGUGGGGUAGUGGCUUACCAAGGCUUUGACGGGUAGCCGGCCUGUGAGGGUGACCGGACACAUUGGGACUGAGAUACGGCCCAGACUCCUACGGGAGGCAGCAGGGGGGAAUAUUGCACAAUGGGCGGAAGCCUGAUGCAGCAACGCCGCGUGCGGGAUGACGGCCUUCGGGUUGUAAACCGCUUUCGCCUGUGACGAAGCGUGAGUGACGGUAAUGGGUAAAGAAGCACCGGCUAACUACGUG
RNAcentral lists this ribosomal RNA (468 nucleotides) under uncultured bacterium. RNAcentral's name for it is "partial 16S ribosomal RNA". It matches the Rfam family "Bacterial small subunit ribosomal RNA", at positions 28 to 507 of the family's 1533-position model. The record is from RNAcentral.